RNAcentral lists this transfer RNA (64 nucleotides) under Cucujoidea sp. 37 KM-2017. RNAcentral's name for it is "tRNA-Gly". Lineage: Eukaryota; Metazoa; Arthropoda; Insecta; Coleoptera. The record is from RNAcentral.
AUUCAUAUAAUAUAAAAAUUAUAUUUAACUUCCAAUUAAAAAAUCUAGAAUUCUAGUAUGAAUA